UCGGCCAGUGGCAGCCCGGGACCCUGGGAUCCAGGGCUCGCACGACAGGUCUCCAAACUUUCUCCCAGCUUUUAUUCACCCUGAGCAGCAAACCACGAGACGGUCUCUUCUUGCAGACAGAAAUGAAAAUGCUCGGAAAAAGAGCUCUUACCUACCCCAAAGGCCGGAUUUACUUAUCCUGAGGAAAAUUUUUAUAAAAAACAAAAAGAAACAUGGUGUCCAGGGUGGAGCUAUCCCUGAAGGUCUUUCCACCGGACUAUGGUGUAUGCACCAAGGAAAGGUCAUGUGAGGACACAGUGAACAGAUGGCUAUUUGCAAUCUAAGGGGGUUCACCAGAUACCAACCCUGCUGGCACCUUGAUAUUGGACUUCCCAGCCUCUA
Molecule: non-coding RNA, 381 nt
Organism: Vicugna pacos (alpaca)
Lineage: Eukaryota; Metazoa; Chordata; Mammalia; Artiodactyla; Camelidae
Source: RefSeq, a predicted model, not a curated record